GUUGUCUGAUUCAUCUGAAAAUUUCAGGGCAGAUAGAUCUUGACCUGAUAAACAAUAUUAACCCAUGUCAGAUUUGCUCUAAAUGCUUUGGUUUUUGAGUUAUAAGCCAAAAACUGCAUUUGACCCCUAUGUUCUAUUUUUAGCAAUGGCGACCAUGUUUGUUGAUAGAUCAAAACUUCGGAUACAAUUUAUAAAUAAGAUACCCUAAGGAACAUUCAGUUAAAGUUUGAAAGUAUUUGGCCCAGUAGUUUCAGAGGAGAAGAUUCUUGAAAUAGUUUACGACGACAGACGACGACGGACGACGACGGACGCCAAGUGAUGGCAUAAGCUCACUUGUCCCUUCGGGACAGGUGAGCUAAAAAAGA
RNAcentral lists this long non-coding RNA (365 nucleotides) under Mytilus galloprovincialis (Mediterranean mussel). Lineage: Eukaryota; Metazoa; Mollusca; Bivalvia; Mytilida; Mytilidae. The record is from RNAcentral.